This 533-nucleotide ribosomal RNA is filed under the name uncultured Bacteroidota bacterium. Its description in RNAcentral is "bacterial SSU rRNA". It matches the Rfam family "Bacterial small subunit ribosomal RNA", at positions 340 to 873 of the family's 1533-position model. The record is from RNAcentral. Lineage: Bacteria; Pseudomonadati; Bacteroidota.
UACGGGAGGCAGCAGUGAGGAAUAUUGGUCAAUGGCAGUAAGUCUGAACCAGCCAUGGCCGCGUGAAGGAGACGGCCCUAUGGGUUGUAAACUUCUUUUAUAUAGAAAUAAACCUUUUUUUGUGAGGGAACUGAAUGUACUAUAAGAAUAAGGAUCGGCUAACUCCGUGCCAGCAGCCGCGGUAAUACGGAGGGUGCAAGCGUUAUCCGGAUUUAUUGGGUUUAAAGGGUGCGUAGGCGGACUUAUAAGUCAUCGGUGAAAACCGACGGCUUAACAGUAGAAUUGCCGUUGAUACUGUUAGUCUUGAAUAAUAAGGAAGUAGGAGGAAUAAUUCUUGUAGUGGUGAAACUAAUAGAUAUUACUUAGAACACCACCAAAGAAGGCAGGCUUACUAAGGGAUUACUGACGCUGAGGCAAAAAAGCGUGGGGAUCAAACAAAAUUAGAUACCCUCGUAGUACACCCCGUAACGAUGAUACAAGUUUGUGCGCACAGUUCAGUGACCAAGCGAAAGCGAUAAGUAUCCACUGGAGAC